CUCACUGUGUCACGGACCAUGGAUUAAAUUUACACCAGAAUAUCCCUUUAGUGGAUAAACAAUUGAAUGAAACAUCAGCAAUAGCAGGUGUGGAGAUUAAACAUUGAAAAUUAACAAAUAAACUACCAAACAAAUAGUAAGAAUUUACCUUUAACAUAAUUUGCUCAUUAACUUUUCAACUUUAACACAUUUGAAGCAACUUUGCUCUUCAGACAAACAGCGAUAACGAUGUCAGCGAAUCCUUUCGAGCUGAACUCUUUCAAACAUCGAGGUCCGUCCGUUCACACAUUGUGCUGACAGUUAAUUUGUAACAAAAGGGAACAGCAGCACGGCACAGAGUCAACGCUGAAAACAUUUCAGAAUAAAUCAUCUGCUGAGUAACUGAGCAGGGCUGAAGUUCUGACAGUCUAGUCACGCAGAUUAAAACGGUUACGCCUGAUUUCAGUCAUUUCUUCUAGGUUUUAAAUCAGAGGAACAGAUGGAGCGGGAAGUUUGUUUUAUAUCCAGACUGGUGGGAACAACAUUUUCCAGUAUGUCUGUGCUAUCAGAUAUCACGCUGCAUUUAAUGAGGAAUAAAACGGAAGUGGCUCUGACGGCUGAUCUGACUGGAGCUCUUUAUAUGGGAGUAUAAAAAAAGUAUGUAGGUGUGAAGCAGCUUGUCUUGUAGCGAGGCCCGCGGAUCAAACAAAGCACCUCCAUCUUAGUACCAUUUUGCAUCUUAACAACAGAAUACAGUAGGUGCUUGCUUUCAGGCCCCUGACCCACUGCAAAGAUUCAGUUUUAGGGCCCUACAUGAUGCACAACGUUUUAAAUAUUUCUGCCAAUGCUCUUAAAUUUAGCUUUGUUUUGUAGCAGUCUGAUUGUUUCAGACUUGCUACUUUUCUUUGUUUGUGCUGAUUUUCCCUCGUGACUCAUCGCAGGUGAUUCAUAUCACCUGUGCACAGGUGGGUAGACUGACCCCUGAUUGAGGAGCGGAAGCAGCUGUCACCCUUUUUGUAACGGCUCAAAAAGGAGGUUUUCAUGGAGCACAAGAUGGAUGUAAUCAACCACAGCAGAAAGCUUCCACGGCGGCUGUGGAGGACGAGGACGGACGGCUACUUCCAAUCUGAUGUUUUUGCUAUUUUUCGAUGGUCGACCUCUGACAUUUCUGCUGUCGGCAGAAUAGAGCGUGUCCGUGUGAAACACUUUCGCGAUAACCACAAUUACGAUGAUUAACACCAGAGGUAUCAGACAUCGAUCUGCUUAAUAAACACACGCAGCUGAGCUGCAGAGGAGCA
Long non-coding RNA from Acanthopagrus latus (yellowfin seabream), 1277 nucleotides. RefSeq lists it as uncharacterized. Lineage: Eukaryota; Metazoa; Chordata; Actinopteri; Spariformes; Sparidae. The transcript has 3 exons. The record is from RefSeq and is a predicted model, not a curated record.